Molecule: long non-coding RNA, 424 nt
Organism: Solanum verrucosum
Lineage: Eukaryota; Viridiplantae; Streptophyta; Magnoliopsida; Solanales; Solanaceae
Exons: 4
Source: RefSeq, a predicted model, not a curated record
AGACAAACAAGGAUUUCUUCCUAAGUUAUUAUAAUCUCUUCAAAUUUCAAGAUACUAUUUCAAUUAUCUUCAUCUCCGCAGUUGAAUGAAUUUCAAACAAAUCAUAAAGGAGUUGCAGGGAGCUAUAAUGAUUUCUUCAGCUUUCCAAACAAUUCUUGGAUACAGUGGGUUGGUGCCAGUAUAACUUUGGUUAAAUGGGAUGGAAUAGGACAUGAGCUUGCUCUCUCAUCAGUAUUUGUAGUGUUGUCUGUUUAUCAGCGUACAAGAUUUAUGAAUACAUACUUUUCUGUGGAAGAGAUAUCAAGAAGCAGCACAGGGUGGACUGAAGAGAUGGAUUGGGCUAUAGUACAUGCCACAAGUAAAGCAAUGCAAGCUGAAGUAUAUAGAAUGAACCUAUCAGGUGCAAUGUAUUUUAUUUGGCAAG